Molecule: long non-coding RNA, 1111 nt
Filed under: Equus caballus (horse)
Lineage: Eukaryota; Metazoa; Chordata; Mammalia; Perissodactyla; Equidae
Description: lncRNA (ENSECAG00000052767.1)
Source: RNAcentral
CAUGGGAGAAAGAGGACUCACGGAUCACCCUGAGGUUUUGGGCCUGAGCAGUUGGCAGUUCAAUGAAGUGAAGAUUUUCUGAGAUGGGGAAGAGUGUGGGAAGGGCAGACUUGGAGGGGGCGACGAGGAGUUCAAGUUUGGACAAGUGAGGUAUUAGACAUUGAAGUGGAGAUGUGGAAUAGGCAGCUGGACAUGAGAGCAGAGGGGAGAUCUGGCUAGAGAGAUAAAUUUGGGAGUCUCUCACAUAAAGAUGGGAUUUAAAGCCAUGGGCUGGAUGAGGUCCUCAAGGGCAUAAGCAUAAAUGGAGAAAUGAAGAGGUUUAACCACUGAGUCCUGGGGGCCAUCUCAUGACUAGAGAUCCUGGAGUUGAGGAAGAAUCAGCAAAGACGACAGAAAAGGCAUGUCAGUGAGGAGGGAGGAAAUCCCAGGAGACCUGGCUGUCCUGGAAGCCAAGAGAAGAAAGUGUUGUUAGGAGAGAAUGCUGCUGAUCAUUCAAGGAAGAGGAGGACAAAAUACUCUUGAAGUAAGGAGUGGCUACAUUUAGGAAGAUUUUGGUGGAAUGCUGUGAGCAAAACUGUUAUUGGAUUGGAUUCAAAAGAAAUUUGUCCAAAGAAGUCACGCAAAUGGCCAAUAAGCACAUGAAAAGACGCUAAACAUUAUUAGCCGCCAGAGAAAGACAAAUCAAAAUAACAAUGAGAUACCACCUCACACCCAGGAGGAGGGCUACAACCAAAAGGAAAACAACAAGUGUUGGUGAGGACGCGGAGAAAUGCUUUAAUAAAGGGGGAGCUCAGCCAGCUGAGCUGCGGGGGUGGGGGUGGGGGCAGCGAACUGAACUGCCAGGUGUCAGAAUGGCUGAUUACAGUACCAAGCUGAGUGCAGACUCCUGUUCCCCCCAUGGAACACCCCACUGGUUGAGGUCAGAGGGAUGAGUGCAGAGAGAGGAUCGUCACACUGCUGAGGGAGCCCCAGAACAAAAGACUCCAACAGUUUUAUGGACCCUGCUGUCAGGGAGGCCCCAGCAGAAGGACCUGAAGAAGACCUCUGCCCAAGGCUCAGAGAAAGAGACCUGGAAAUAAAGGCUCUGGGACUAGGAAUGCAAAUACGUGAA